GAUGAACGCUGGCGGCGUGCUUAACACAUGCAAGUCAAACGAUGAAGCCCAGCUUGCUGGGUGGAUUAGUGGCGAACGGGUGAGUAACACGUGAGUAACCUGCCCUUGACUCUGGGAUAAGCCUGGGAAACUGGGUCUAAUACUGGAUAUGACUUCUCAUCGCAUGGUGGGGGGUGGAAAGAUUUAUUGGUCUUGGAUGGACUCGCGGCCUAUCAGCUUGUUGGUGAGGUAAUGGCUCACCAAGGCGACGACGGGUAGCCGGCCUGAGAGGGUGACCGGCCACACUGGGACUGAGACACGGCCCAGACUCCUACGGGAGGCAGCAGCGGGGAAUAUUGCACAAUGGGCGCAAGCCUGAUGCAGCGACGCCGCGUGAGGGAUGACGGCCUUCGGGUUGUAAACCUCUUUCAGUAGGGAAGAAGCGAGAGUGACGGUACCUGCAGAAGAAGCGCCGGCUAACUACGUG
Molecule: ribosomal RNA, 466 nt
Filed under: uncultured bacterium
Lineage: Bacteria
Description: partial 16S ribosomal RNA
Rfam family: Bacterial small subunit ribosomal RNA
Source: RNAcentral